RNAcentral lists this ribosomal RNA (500 nucleotides) under uncultured marine bacterium. RNAcentral's name for it is "bacterial SSU rRNA". It matches the Rfam family "Bacterial small subunit ribosomal RNA", at positions 47 to 526 of the family's 1533-position model. The record is from RNAcentral.
CCUAACACAUGCAAGUCGAGCGGAAACGACAACAUUGAAUCUUNGGAGGAUUUGUUGGGCGUCGAGCGGCGGACGGGUGAGUAAUGCCUAGGAAAUUGCCUUGAUGUGGGGGAUAACCAUUGGAAACGAUGGCUAAUACCGCAUAAUGCCUACGGGCCAAAGAGGGGGAUCUUCGGACCUCUCGCGUCAAGAUAUGCCUAGGUGGGAUUAGCUAGUUGGUGAGGUAAUGGCUCACCAAGGCGACGAUCCCUAGCUGGUCUGAGAGGAUGAUCAGCCACACUGGAACUGAGACACGGUCCAGACUCCUACGGGAGGCAGCAGUGGGGAAUAUUGCACAAUGGGCGAAAGCCUGAUGCAGCCAUGCCGCGUGUAUGAAGAAGGCCUUCGGGUUGUAAAGUACUUUCAGUUGUGAGGAAAGGUGUGUAGUUAAUAGCUGCGCAUCUUGACGUUAGCAACAGAAGAAGCACCGGCUAACUCCGUGCCAGCAGCCGCGGUAAUAC